AUGACUGAUGGCACCAACAGGUGAUGCAACAGGUUACUAUUCUUUCUGGAUACUCUCCUGAUUACAGUUUUCUGCAAGACUUGCACAGUUGGAGUGGAUCUCAGUACUGCUCAAGACAGCAGCUGGAGGUGUCCCACAUUGCUGCAUCUUCCAAAAUGAUAACCCUUUGUAGACGGUCCCUGUUGCCUUUAAAUGACUGGUGGCACCAACAGGUGAUGCAACAGGUUACUAUUCUUUCUGGAUACUCUCCUGAUUACAGCUUUCUGCAGGACUUGCACAGUUGGAGUGGAUCUCAGUACUGCUCAAGACAGCAGCUGGAGGUGUCCCACAUUGCUGCAUCUUCCAAAAGGAUAACCCUUUGUAGACGGUCCCUGCUGCCUUUGAAUGACUGAUGGUACCAGCAGGUGAUGCAACAGGUUACUACUCUUUCUGGAUACUCUCCUGAUUACAGUUUUCUGCAGGACUUACACACUUGGAGUGGAUCUCAGUACUGCUCAAGACAGCAGCUGGAGGUAUCCCACAUUACUGCAUGUUCCAAAAGGAUAACACUUUGUAGACGGUCCCUGCUGCCUUUAAAUGACUGAUGGCACCAACAGGUGAUGCAACAGGUUACUAUUCUUUCUGGAUACUCUCCUGAUUACAGUUUUCUGCAGGACUUGCACAGUUGUAGUGGAUCUCAGUACUGCUCAAGACAGCAGCUGGAGGUGUCCCACAGUGCUGCAUCUUCCAAAAGAAUAACCCUUUGUAGACGGUCCCUGCUGCCUUUAAAUGACUGAUGGCACCAACAGGUGAUGCAACAGGUUACUAUUCUUUCUGGAUACUCUCCUGAUUACAGUUUUCUGCAGGACUUGCACAGUUGGAGUGGAUCUCAGUACUGCUCAAGCCAGCAGCUCGAGGUGUCCCACGCUGCUGCAUCUUCCAAAAGGAUAACCCUUUGUAGACGGUCCCUGCUGCCUUUAAAUGACUGAUGGCACCAACAGGACUUGCACAGUUGGAGUGGAUCUCAGUACUGCUCAAGCCAGCAGCUGGAGGUGUCCCACGUUGCUGCAUCUUCCAAAAGGAUAACCCUUUGUAGACUGUUCCUGUUGCCUUUAAGUGACUGAUGGCACCAACAGGUGAUGCAAUCCAUUAGUAUUCUUUCUGGAUACUCUCCUUGUUACGGUUUUCUGCAGGACUUGCACAGUUGGAGUGGAUCUUAGGGGUACUCAAGCCAACAGGAGGAGGCGUCUUACGUUGCUGCAUCUUCGAAAAGGAGAAUCCUUCUGCAGACGGUUUCUGCUGCAUCUCUGUGACAAAAGGCACCACCAGGUGAUGCUGCGGGUUACUAUUCUUCUUGGAUACUGCCUUGGUUACGAUGUUCUACAGGACUUGCACAGUUUGAGUGGACCUCCGUGGUACUAUAGCCGACAGGAGGAGGCGUCUUACGUUGCUGCAUCUUCCAAAAGGGGGAUCCUUCUGCAGACUGUUUCUGCUGCUUCUCAAUGAUGAAAGGCACCAACAGGUGAUGCUACAGGUUACUAUUCUCCUUGGGUACUACCCUGGUUACGAUGUUCUGCAGGACUUGCACAGUUCGAGUGUAUCUCAGUGGUACUCAAGCAAACAAGAGGAGGCGUCUCAUGUUGCUGCAUCCUCCAAAAGGGGAAUCCUUCUGCAGACUGUUUCUGCUGCUUCUCAAUGAUGAAAGGCACCAACAGGUGAUGCUACAGGUUACUAUUCUCCUUGGGUACUACCCUGGUUACGAUGUUCUGCAGGACUUGCACAGUUCGAGUGUAUCUCAGUGGUACUCAAGCAAACAAGAGGAGGCGUCUCAUGUUGCUGCAUCCUCCAAAAGGGGAAUCCUUCUGCAGACUGUUUCUGCUGCUUCUCAAUGAUGAAAGGCACCAACAGGACUUGCACAGUUCGAGUGGAUCUCAGUGGUACUCAAGCAAACAAGAGGAGGCGUCUCAUGUUGCUGCAUCCUCCAAAAGGAGAAUCCUUCUGCAGACUGUUUCUGCUGCUUCUCAAUGAUGAAAGGCACCAACAGGACUUGCACAGUUCGAGUGGAUCUCAGUGGUACUCAAGCAAACAAGAGGAGGCGUCUCAUGUUGCUGCAUCCUCCAAAAGAAGAAUCCUCCUGCAGACUGUUUCUGCUGCUUCUCAAUGAUGAAAGGCACCAACAGGUGAUGCUACAGGUUACUAUUCUUCUUGGGUACUACCCUGGUUACGAUGUUCUGCAGGACUUGCACAGUUCGAGUGGAUCUCAGUGGUACUCAAGCAAACAAGAGGAGGCGUCUCAUGUUGCUGCAUCCUCCAAAAGGGGAAUCCUUCUGCAGACUGUUUCUGCUGCUUCUCAAUGAUGAAAGGCACCAACAGGUGAUGCUACAGGUUACUAUUCUUCUUGGGUACUACCCUGGUUACGAUGUUCUGCAGGACUUGCACAGUUCGAGUGGAUCUCAGUGGUACUCAAGCAAACAAGAGGAGGCGUCUCAUGUUGCUGCAUCCUCCAAAAGGGGAAUCCUUCUGCAGACUGUUUCUGCUGCUUCUCAAUGAUGAAAGGCACCAACAGGUGAUGCUACAGGUUACUAUUCUUCUUGGGUACUACCCUGGUUACGAUGUUCUGCAGGACUUGCACAGUUCGAGUGGAUCUCAGUGGUACUCAAGCAAACAAGAGGAGGCGUCUCAUAUUGCUGCAUCCCCCAAAAGGAGAAUCCUUCUGCACACUGUUUCUGCUGCUUCUCAAUGAUGAAAGGCACCAACAGGUGAUGCUACAGCUAGGUUACUAUUCUUCUUGGGUACUACCCUGGUUACGAUGUUCUGCAGGACUUGCACAGUUCGAGUGGAUCUCAGUGGUACUCAAGCAAACAAGAGGAGGCGUCUCAUGUUGCUGCAUCCUCCAAAACAAGAAUCCUCCUGCAGACUGUUUCUGCUGCUUCUCAAUGAUGAAAGGCACCAACAGGUGAUGCUACAGGUUACUAUUCUUCUUGGGCACUACCCUGGUUACGAUGUUCUGCAGGACUUGCACAGUUCGAGUGGAUCUCAGUGGUACUCAAGCAAACAAGAGGAGGCGUCUCAUGUUGCUGCAUCCUCCAAAAGGGGAAUCCUUCUGCAAACUGUUUCUGCUGCUUCUCAAUGAUGAAAGGCACCAACAGGUGAUGCUACAGGUUACUAUUCUUCUUGGGUACUACCCUGGUUACGAUGUUCUGCAGGACUUGCACAGUUCGAGUGGAUCUCAGUGGUACUCAAGCAAACAAGAGGAGGCGUCUCAUGUUGCUGCAUCCUCCAAAAGGAGAAUCCUCCUGCAGACUGUUUCUGCCGCUUCUCAAUGAUGAAAGGCACCAACAGGUGAUGCUACAGGUUACUAUUCUUCUUGGGUACUACCCUGGUUACGAUGUUCUGCAGGACUUGCACAGUUCGAGUGGAUCUCAGUGGUACUCAAGCAAACAAGAGGAGGCGUCUCAUGUUGCUGCAUCCUCCAAAAGGGGAAUCCUUCUGCAGACUGUUUCUGCUGCUUCUCAGUGAUGAAAGGCACCAACAGGUGAUGCUACAGGUUACUAUUCUUCUUGGGCACUACCCUGGUUACGAUGUUCUGCAGGACUUGCACAGUUCGAGUGGAUCUCAGUGGUACUCAGGCAAACAAGAGGAGGCGUCUCAUGUUGCUGCGUCCUCCAAAAGGAGAAUCCUCCUGCAGACGGUUUUUGCUGCUUCUCAGUUACUAAAGGCACCAACAGGUGCUGUUACAGGUUGCCACUCUUUCUCGAUACUGCCCUGGUUACGAUUUUCUCGAGGAAUUGCACAGUAAGAGUGGAUCUCAGUGGUACUCAAGCCAGCAGAUGGAGGUGCCCUACGGUGCUGCAUCUUCCAAAAAGAUAAUCCUUUUGGAGACGGUUUCUGCUGCUUCUCAGUGACUAAAGGCAACCGGUGAUUCUACAGGUUACUGUUCUUUCUGAAUACUGCCCUGCUUAACAUUUUCUGUGGGACUUGCAUGGUUUAAGUCGAUUUCAGUGUUACUCAAGAAACAGAUGAAGGUGUUGUGUUCUGUUGCAUCUUUCAAAGGCAUAAUCCGUCGCAGACAGGUCUUGCGAAUUUUGUUAGUGGAUAUCCGAUAUGAUAUAAGGCACCAGCAGGUUGCAAAACUAUCUGGUUACUGUCCUGCUUUCCAUUACCUGUAGGUCCUGCCCGGUUAGAAUGGAUCUCUGGUACUUAAGCCAACAGAUGGAAGUACCCAUCCUUGCUCUUUGUUUCCAAAGAAUCCUCCCUCAUGCCUAACGGUCGUUGCAUCUCAAAAGCACAUGAUGUCCACUACAUUGCUGUCUGCUGCGCUUCUCCGGUGGUGGUGAUCUGAUCGUUCGUGUCCAUGCCUACAUGCACCAGCGGGCCCUAAAGUUGUGUCACGCGACAAAAGUACACAUCCUUUACUUGCAAAGCGCUGGAACGACGCAAGGGACGCUGGAUAUCUAUGCAAGAUGCUGAAGCUCUGUAGGACGAAAUUCUCGAGGGAUUCUCGCAACGAAUGUGAUGUACAUAGUUGUGCUUUUUCAUGUUUAGGGUUCUUUCGCAUUGCGUCCCAUAAAGGGAACAGCAUAACACACGUGAACACCUUUGAACUUUUGAUACGGAUGAGGGCUGUGGUAGACUUGCUUGUGGUGCCUAUUAUGGUCUUCUCCUUUCGUUUCAUCCGUUCUGGUUGGUUGGUCGGUUUGUCCUUUUGCUUUCGUUUCGUUUCGUUUCGUCUCGUUUCGUUUUGGACAGUGCGUUUCGGUCGUUGAAUAUCCCAUGGUUAUCAAAUUUGUUCUUCUUUUCUUCCAUAAGUUGGGGCUUGCGGUACUUACGGAAGCAAGAGGCUUGCGUGGUCUAUCUUAUGGCAUUUAUUCAGUUAGCCGUGCCGGUGUCCUAUGUGUGAAUUACUUGCUCGUCACCAGGGAGCAUAAACAACACAAACAACGCAAACCCAGUCACAAGUACCCGUAUUUGCUCUGAAAUGCAUGCUUUUAUUUAUCGUGCCUGUAACUUUGACCUUCGUUGAUAUUCGUUGGCGUCUGACUGAAAUGUGAAAUAUAUUUUGCUAU
Molecule: long non-coding RNA, 5045 nt
Organism: Ornithodoros turicata
Lineage: Eukaryota; Metazoa; Arthropoda; Arachnida; Ixodida; Argasidae
Exons: 6
Source: RefSeq, a predicted model, not a curated record